Long non-coding RNA from Oxyura jamaicensis (ruddy duck), 1418 nucleotides. RefSeq lists it as uncharacterized. NCBI's taxonomy places the organism in Eukaryota, Metazoa, Chordata, Aves, Anseriformes, Anatidae. The transcript is spliced from 3 exons. The record is from RefSeq and is a predicted model, not a curated record.
AUUUAUUUAUUUAAGUGAACUAGUAUCUGCCUAGCUAAGGCACUGCAUAGUCUGUGAGGAAAAACAGGAGCAUAACGGUUAGACUGAUGAAGCUGAGACACAAAACAGGGUAGAUGAAGAUGACAGAGAUGUAUUGCAAAUGCAGUGAUGGAUCCUUUCUUGUAAGGAAGUGUAUACUGCUGUGUUCCCCUUGGGUGUGUUCAGCUUCUUCCCAGCAGCAGCACCAAGCACUGCGCUCUCACUCUCCCUGCACUCCCGGCAGCGCUCUCUAGGAUAAAGCCCUCUGAACAGCAUUGACAGUCUUGGGUUGAAGAGAGCAAUGUAAUGGAAAAAAGCAAUACUAACACUGACCAAACAAUGCAGUGCAGGCAUAGAUAUAGGCUUUAGAUAUAGGCUUUGCUGAACAGAGCAUUUUUGUGAAGGCUUCUGAACACAUUAGUGAUACUAGAUGAAAAUAGGGUACAGAGAGACAUUUCUGUACCUUAAAAAGGCCACAUAGUUUAACUAGAGAAGGAACAGCUGCAAUCAGCCACUACAUUUGCAUGACAGAUUUUGCCCGCUGUUUGUACCUUGCUGGGCAUAAGUGCAAGCCUCUGAUUCUGCAAACGUUUAAUGCAGGCAGCUGAAAAUACUCAUAUGUCGAACUAGAAUCCACCUUUGAUAUUUUUAUGCAGCAGAUAUCAAACAAAGCCAACAGUGCAUGUCAAUAUAUAUUUUAUUUUUUAAUACACUGGAGGAUUCUAGCUCAUUGAAGUCAAGUCCCCGCAGUUAGCUGCAAAGCCUUAAAUAGGGCUGGAUCUGCAUAACCAGCAAUGGCAGGCUGUGUUGAGGCAAAGUAAUUGGCCUUUAUGGUCUCAUACUUUGUAAUACCCUAGAAUAAGCGAGACUGAAAACGAGUCAAUUAAAAAAGAUAGUGUUUGCAAGUUGUCUGUCCCUUUGGCUGGGAAAACUCCAUAAAUAUGUCUACUUAUCAACAGUUGGAGUAACUGGAGGAAAUGACAGACAGCCAUAAGUAGAAAUAUUAUUGACAUCCUGCCUCAGCUGCUUACGGUUUCCUAUGUACUAAAGGGUAGUUGCUAAAGCCCUGACCCUGGGGGUAAUGAACAGUGCUCUGACAUUUCCAAGUCGCUUUGUAGCUUGUUCAAAGCCUUCCCUCAUUCCUCUUCCCCCAUUCACCUGCCCAUCAGCCCAUCAGUUCUUUCUCACAGAGCUGCUAUGAGACUGGGAAGUGCUCUUGUGAUAGCUGUUAAAGGCAGCCCUUCAGGGCUGGAAGCAUGGCCAUAGCCACUUGCUUGAUCAAGCUGACGACUCAUAUCUGUGUUCAGAUACUUCUACCAAAUGUACUUAAAACAACAAAGAAAAAAAAGCUUACAAGUAUCUGAAGUGAGAAAUUAGAAAAUUCGAAUGAUUUAUGUGAA